This 464-nucleotide ribosomal RNA is filed under the name uncultured Alkaliflexus sp. RNAcentral describes it as "bacterial SSU rRNA". It matches the Rfam family "Bacterial small subunit ribosomal RNA", at positions 916 to 1382 of the family's 1533-position model. The record is from RNAcentral. Lineage: Bacteria; Pseudomonadati; Bacteroidota; Bacteroidia; Marinilabiliales; Marinilabiliaceae.
GGGGCCCGCACAAGCGGAGGAACAUGUGGUUUAAUUCGAUGAUACGCGAGGAACCUUACCUGGGUUUAAAUGGGAAGUGACAGCUUUAGAAUAGAGCCUUCUUCGGACACUUUUCAAGGUGCUGCAUGGUUGUCGUCAGCUCGUGCCGUGAGGUGUCGGGUUAAGUCCCAUAACGAGCGCAACCCCUAUUGAUAGUUACCAGCACGUAAUGGUGGGGACUCUAUCGAGACUGCCGGUGUAAACCGUGAGGAAGGUGGGGAUGACGUCAAAUCAGCACGGCCCUUACAUCCAGGGCUACACACGUGUUACAAUGGCCGGUACAAAGGGCAGCUACUCCGCGAGGAGAUGCGAAUCUUAAAAACCGGUCUCAGUUCGGAUCGAAGUCUGCAACCCGACUUCGUGAAGCUGGAUUCGCUAGUAAUCGUAUAUCAGCCAUGAUACGGUCGAAUACGUUCCCGGGCCUU